AAAACACAAAGUAUGGGUGAAGUCCAUAUGUGAUAGCAAAUUGAGUUGAUUACAUGUGAAAUGUCAUGUGCAGACUGCCCAUGUUUAUAUAACCUGCCUUGAUCAGCUAUGUCCACUGCAUAGAAGAAGAUCCUGCUUUCCCGUACAUACAAGAAACCCUCACCAUUCACAGGUAACAGUCGCAAAACUUUGA
RNAcentral lists this long non-coding RNA (193 nucleotides) under Crocodylus porosus (Australian saltwater crocodile). Its description in RNAcentral is "lncRNA (ENSCPRG00005004097.1)". Lineage: Eukaryota; Metazoa; Chordata; Crocodylia; Crocodylidae. The record is from RNAcentral.